RNAcentral lists this ribosomal RNA (254 nucleotides) under uncultured bacterium. Its description in RNAcentral is "partial 16S ribosomal RNA". It matches the Rfam family "Bacterial small subunit ribosomal RNA", at positions 524 to 776 of the family's 1533-position model. The record is from RNAcentral.
UACGUAGGGGGCGAGCGUUGUCCGGAUUUAUUGGGCGUAAAGAGCUCGUAGGCGGUUUGGCAAGUCGGGUGUGAAAACUCCGGGCUCAACUCGGAGACGCCACUCGAUACUGCCAUGACUCGAGUCCGGUAGGGGAGUGCGGAAUUCCUGGUGUAGCGGUGAAAUGCGCAGAUAUCAGGAGGAACACCGGUGGCGAAGGCGGGUCUCUGGGCAACAACUGACGCUGAGGAGCGAAAGCGUGGGGAGCGAACAGG